Molecule: ribosomal RNA, 687 nt
Filed under: uncultured bacterium
Lineage: Bacteria
Description: bacterial SSU rRNA
Rfam family: Bacterial small subunit ribosomal RNA
Source: RNAcentral
UGCAGUCGAGGGGCAUCAGUUUGGUUUGCUUGCAAACCAAAGCUGGCGACCGGCGCACGGGUGAGUAACACGUAUCCAACCUGCCUCAUACUCGGGGAUAGCCUUUCGAAAGAAAGAUUAAUAUCCGAUAGCAUAUAUUUCCCGCAUGGGUUUUAUAUUAAAGAAAUUCGGUAUGAGAUGGGGAUGCGUUCCAUUAGUUUGUUGGGGGGGUAACGGCCCACCAAGACUACGAUGGAUAGGGGUUCUGAGAGGAAGGUCCCCCACAUUGGAACUGAGACACGGUCCAAACUCCUACGGGAGGCAGCAGUGAGGAAUAUUGGUCAAUGGACGCGAGUCUGAACCAGCCAAGUAGCGUGAAGGAUGACUGCCCUAUGGGUUGUAAACUUCUUUUAUAUGGGAAUAAAGUUGUCCACGUGUGGAUUUUUGUAUGUACCAUAUGAAUAAGGAUCGGCUAACUCCGUGCCAGCAGCCGCGGUAAUACGGAGGAUCCGAGCGUUAUUCGGAUUUAUUGGGUUUAAAGGGAGCGUAGGCGGAUUGUUAAGUCAGUUGUGAAAGUUUGCGGCUCAACCGUAAAAUUGCAGUUGAUACUGGCAGUCUUGAGUGCAGUAGAGGUGGGCGGAAUUCGUGGUGUAGCGGUGAAAUGCUUAGAUAUCACGAAGAACUCCGAUUGCGAAGGCAGCUCACUGG